This 74-nucleotide transfer RNA is filed under the name Candidatus Yanofskyibacteriota bacterium. Its description in RNAcentral is "tRNA-Lys". It matches the Rfam family "tRNA". From Rfam's summary of the family: Transfer RNA (tRNA) molecules are approximately 80 nucleotides in length. Their secondary structure includes four short double-helical elements and three loops (D, anti-codon, and T loops). Lineage: Bacteria; Candidatus Yanofskyibacteriota. The record is from RNAcentral.
GCCUCGGUAGCUCAAUUGGUAGAGCAGGUCCCUUUUAAGGACAAGGUUUGUGGGUUCGACCCCCACCCGGGGCA